CAAUAGCGUAUAUUUAAGUUGUUGCAGUUAAAAAGCUCGUAGUUGGAUUUCGGGUGGGACCUGCCGGUCCGUCGUUGCGAUGUGCACUGGCCGGUCCCAUCUUGUUGUCGGGGACCAGCUCCUGGGCUUCACUGUCCGGGACUGGGAGCCGACGAAGUUACUUUGAGUAAAUUAGAGUGUUCAAAGCAAGCCUACGCUCUGAAUAUAUUAGCAUGGAAUAACACGAUAGGACUCUGGCUUAUCUUGUUGGUCUGUGAGACCAGAGUAAUGAUUAAGAGGGACAGUCGGGGACAUUCGUAUUUCAUUGUCAGAGGUGAAAUUCUUGGAUUUAUGAAAGACGAACUUCUGCGAAAGCAUUUGUCAAGGAUGUUUUCAUUA
This 378-nucleotide ribosomal RNA is filed under the name uncultured eukaryote. RNAcentral's name for it is "partial 18S ribosomal RNA". It matches the Rfam family "Eukaryotic small subunit ribosomal RNA", at positions 592 to 975 of the family's 1831-position model. The record is from RNAcentral.